This 544-nucleotide ribosomal RNA is filed under the name uncultured Acidobacteriota bacterium. Its description in RNAcentral is "bacterial SSU rRNA". It matches the Rfam family "Bacterial small subunit ribosomal RNA", at positions 61 to 637 of the family's 1533-position model. The record is from RNAcentral. Lineage: Bacteria; Pseudomonadati; Acidobacteriota.
GUCGCACGAGAAAGGGGCUUCGGUCCUGAGUAAAGUGGCGCACGGGUGAGUAACACGUGAAUGAUCUACCUCCGAGUGGGGAAUAACUGAGAGAAAUCUUAGCUAAUACCGCAUAACACUUACGAGUCAAAGCCGCAAGGCGCUUGGAGAGGAGUUCGCGGCCGAUUAGCUAGUUGGCGGGGUAAUGGCCCACCAAGGCGAUGAUCGGUAUCCGGCCUGAGAGGGCGCACGGACACACUGGAACUGAAACACGGUCCAGACUCCUACGGGAGGCAGCAGUGGGGAAUUUUGCGCAAUGGGGGAAACCCUGACGCAGCAACGCCGCGUGGAGGAUGAAGUAUCUUGGUACGUAAACUCCUUUCGAUGGGGAAGAUAAUGACGGUACCCAUAGAAGAAGCCCCGGCUAACUUCGUGCCAGCAGCCGCGGUAAUACGAGGGGGGCAAGCGUUGUUCGGAAUUAUUGGGCGUAAAGGGUGCGUAGGCGGUUUGAUAAGUCUGAUGUGAAAUCUAUGGGCUCAACCCAUAGUCUGCAUUAGAAACUGUC